Molecule: non-coding RNA, 246 nt
Organism: Biomphalaria pfeifferi
Lineage: Eukaryota; Metazoa; Mollusca; Gastropoda; Planorbidae
Source: the annotation of a GenBank genome assembly
GAGGAGGUAUUGACUUUUUAAAAGUAUUUUUAUUGUCUUUCUUACUAAUUAUUAGUGAAAGUAUAAAACACACACAUGUAAACUAUGUAAAAUGUACAAGCCUUUAGUGAAAUAGCAAUUAGCGAAAUGCAAUAAUGAUCACAGUUAAUAUUGACUCUCUCACUCUCUCUCUCUCUUUCUCUCUGUUUCUCUCUGCCUCUCUCUGUCUCUCUCUCUCUCUCUCUCUCUAUAUAUAUAUAUAUAUAU